RNAcentral lists this transfer RNA (69 nucleotides) under Dipodomys ordii (Ord's kangaroo rat). It matches the Rfam family "tRNA". From Rfam's summary of the family: Transfer RNA (tRNA) molecules are approximately 80 nucleotides in length. Their secondary structure includes four short double-helical elements and three loops (D, anti-codon, and T loops). The record is from Rfam by way of RNAcentral. Lineage: Eukaryota; Metazoa; Chordata; Mammalia; Rodentia; Heteromyidae.
GGGAAUGUGACUUAGUAGUAGAGUGCUUGACUGGCAUGCAAAAAGUCCUGGGUUCAAUUCUCAGUACCA